Molecule: ribosomal RNA, 497 nt
Filed under: uncultured bacterium
Lineage: Bacteria
Description: partial 16S ribosomal RNA
Rfam family: Bacterial small subunit ribosomal RNA
Source: RNAcentral
GACGAACGCUGGCGGCGUGCCUAAUACAUGCAAGUUGAGCGCUGAAGGUUGGUACUUGUACCGACUGGAUGAGCAGCGAACGGGUGAGUAACGCGUGGGGGAUCUGCCUUUGAGCGGGGGACAACAUUUGGAAACGAAUGCUAAUACCGCAUAAAAACUUUAAACACAAGUUUUAAGUUUGAAAGAUGCAAUUGCAUCACUCAAAGAUGAUCCCGCGUUGUAUUAGCUAGUUGGUGAGGUAAAGGCUCACCAAGGCGAUGAUACAUAGCCGACCUGAGAGGGUGAUCGGCCACAUUGGGACUGAGACACGGCCCAAACUCCUACGGGAGGCAGCAGUAGGGAAUCUUCGGCAAUGGACGAAAGUCUGACCGAGCAACGCCGCGUGAGUGAAGAAGGUUUUCGGAUCGUAAAACUCUGUUGGUAGAGAAGAACGUUGGUGAGAGUGGAAAGCUCAUCAAGUGACGGUAACUACCCAGAAAGGGACGGCUAACUACGUG